RNAcentral lists this ribosomal RNA (519 nucleotides) under Bathyteuthis sp. d AL-2020. RNAcentral's name for it is "partial 16S ribosomal RNA". It matches the Rfam family "Bacterial large subunit ribosomal RNA", at positions 1817 to 2600 of the family's 2925-position model. Lineage: Eukaryota; Metazoa; Mollusca; Cephalopoda; Oegopsida; Bathyteuthidae. The record is from RNAcentral.
GUCUCUUUGUUAAUAAAUAUAUAAAGAGUUGGGCCUGCUCGGUGAAAUAUAUUUGUUUUUAACAGCUGCGGUAUUUUAACUGUACUAAGGUAGCAUAAUAAUUUGCCUUAUAAUUUGAGGCUAGAAUGAAUGGUUUGACGAAGGUUAAUCUGUCUCUAUCUUAUUUUUUAGAAUUUAAUUUUUAAAGUGAAAAAGCUUGGAUUUUUUAAAGGGACGAGAAGACCCUAAUGAGCUUGUAAUUUUAUUAGUAUUAUGCUAUUAGAUUGGUAUAAUGGUGAAUAAUUUUAGUUGGGGUGAUUAAGGAAUAAUUAUGGUAAUAACUUCCUUAGAAUAUAUUUAUUUUGUUAUAAAGUAACCAAUAAAUUAUUGCUUAUAUUAUAGUUACCAUAGGGAUAACAGCGUAAUUCAUUUAGAGAGUUCUUAUUGAAAAAUGAGAUUGCGACCUCGAUGUUGGAUUGAAGUAUCCUUAAGGUGUAGAAGCUUUGGUAGGUAAAUCUGUUCGAUUUUUAAAACUUUACA